AUUGAACGCUGGCGGCAGGCCUAACACAUGCAAGUCGAACGGUAACAGAAAGCAGCUUGCUGCUUUGCUGACGAGUGGCGGACGGGUGAGUAAUGUCUGGGAAACUGCCUGAUGGAGGGGGAUAACUACUGGAAACGGUAGCUAAUACCGCAUAAUGUCGCAAGACCAAAGAGGGGGACCUUCGGGCCUCUUGCCAUCGGAUGUGCCCAGAUGGGAUUAGCUUGUUGGUGGGGUAACGGCUCACCAAGGCGACGAUCCCUAGCUGGUCUGAGAGGAUGACCAGCCACACUGGAACUGAGACACGGUCCAGACUCCUACGGGAGGCAGCAGUGGGGAAUAUUGCACAAUGGGCGCAAGCCUGAUGCAGCCAUGCCGCGUGUAUGAAGAAGGCCUUCGGGUUGUAAAGUACUUUCAGCGGGGAGGAAGGGAGUAAAGUUAAUACCUUUGCUCAUUGACGUUACCCGCAGAAGAAGCACCGGCUAACUCCGUGCCAGCAGCCGCAGUAA
This 506-nucleotide ribosomal RNA is filed under the name uncultured bacterium. RNAcentral describes it as "partial 16S ribosomal RNA". It matches the Rfam family "Bacterial small subunit ribosomal RNA", at positions 30 to 523 of the family's 1533-position model. The record is from RNAcentral.